Molecule: long non-coding RNA, 1097 nt
Filed under: Betta splendens (Siamese fighting fish)
Lineage: Eukaryota; Metazoa; Chordata; Actinopteri; Anabantiformes; Osphronemidae
Description: lncRNA (ENSBSLG00000018448.1)
Source: RNAcentral
UAUCAAUAUAGGACCACUGUUCUAAAAAUCCAAAGUAAAAUCUUGAACUUCAUGUCUCCUGCAGCUCCUGUGGGCUCCGUCCUGCUGCUCUCUGAGUGUCUGUCUGAGGGACAGAUGAGGGCGUCCUGCUCCUCUGAGGGAGGGGACAGUCCUCAGUACAGCUGGACUCUGGAUGGACACACACUGACACAUGCUGAGCUCCUCUCUGGAAACAAUGAGAGCAACAACAUCACUCUGAAACAACACGUCUCAGGACGUCUGCUCUGUUCAGUCAGGAAUCAAGUCAGUCGUGUCUCCAAAGAAGAGUCAAUAUCUCCCUGUAAAGGUCUCUCUCUGCUCAUUUGUGGUUUGGAGUCUGCAGUAGCAGCUGUUUCACUGGGUGUGAUCUGCAUCUAUUUUUAUUGGAAGAAGAGGAAAUAUGAGCAGCUUUCAGCCCCCGCAACACAAACAAUUGAAUUGAUCUGAGAAGAUUAUUUUUUUAUUGCUGAUUCAGGAGAUCACCUUCAUCCCUGGACAUCAAAGACAGAAAUGAUCAGAGCACCGUUCAUUUGUCAUUUGUUGUAAACUGUCAGAUUAUGUAAACUAUAUUUAGUGGUCACUGACUAAAUAUGAUACCACUCAAUUAAAGUACAGUGCAAUCAAAGUAAAUAACAUUGUAGAUUAGCUAACAAUUAAUUACAUGUUGAUUUAUACUGUUUUGCUUUUGUUCACAUUGGGUUAUUAUAAAUAUAAUGCAAGUUUGAGAUUGUGCAGAAAAUAUAUUAUUUAUUUAUAUAAUAUUUUACAAAUAUAACUUUUUUUUGCAAAAGGGAAUUUCUUUUUCUGAACAUAUCUGACCAUAUAACAUAUGUUACUUUCCUACAUAUGAAUGCUACAGAUGUGAGUAUACAGCUGCUAACUUAGACAUAUACAGGUUUGUUGCUAAAACAUAACAAACAUAAAACAGACUCUUAGAAGCAGCAUGCGGUUAUUUUAGCACAUACUGUAUUUUAUAGCUGAGGAACCGAAACAUUGGCCAGAAUCUUCUUGGUGAGUCAUCAUUAUUUGCAGCAGCUAAUCAAAAAAAGGACACAAAAUAAAAAACAAUUCUCUCAUCA